This 254-nucleotide ribosomal RNA is filed under the name uncultured bacterium. RNAcentral's name for it is "partial 16S ribosomal RNA". It matches the Rfam family "Archaeal small subunit ribosomal RNA", at positions 474 to 727 of the family's 1478-position model. The record is from RNAcentral.
UACCAGCACCCCCGAGUGGUCGGGACGUUUAUUGGGCCUAAAGCAUCCGUAGCCGGUUCUACAAGUCUUCCGUUAAAUCCAGCUGCUUAACAGAUGGGCUGCGGAAGAUACUAUGGAGCUAGGAGGCGGGAGAGGCAAGCGGUACUCGAUGGGUAGGGGUAAAAUCCGUUGAUCCAUUGAAGACCACCAGUGGCGAAGGCGGCUUGCCAGAACGCGCUCGACGGUGAGGGAUGAAAGCUGGGGGAGCAAACCGG